This is a long non-coding RNA of Olea europaea var. sylvestris, 1430 nucleotides long. RefSeq lists it as uncharacterized. The record is from RefSeq and is a predicted model, not a curated record. NCBI's taxonomy places the organism in Eukaryota, Viridiplantae, Streptophyta, Magnoliopsida, Lamiales, Oleaceae. The transcript has 3 exons.
UAAGGAAUAUCACUUCUUGAAAUUGAAAGCGAAGAAAAGAAAAGAAAAAGAAAGAAACAGUGAAAAAAGGCAAAUCGAUGGAGGGAGGGGAAUAAAGAAUUGAAAGAAUGGAGGACUCCAACGACCUUCAGCAGCAGAGCAAAGCCCUGGACAAGCUUACUGACCGAGUCGAGGAUCGCCAGCUCUAUUCGACCCGAGUCCAAGAGAUCAAUUUUAUGAUAUAUUUUUCUAUGCUAUCUGGCUAUGGCUUCAAUUGCUGCUCCGAAAGAGGCUGACAUUCAACCUGCCAGAGUGAGGGUAGUUAUUAUUAUUUUAUUUUUGUCGGUGUUGAGUCAUUGAUUGAUGCCAUGUGUGGGUAGUAGAUAAAUGCACGCUGUUUACAUUUUUAAAUAGUAGAAGUGAUUCAAUUUUGUGUUUGGGGGCUUUCGGACAUUUUAUUUGAUCAUAGAAAUUCAAUAUUACGGUUUACGGUUUAGCCGUCUUGAUACUGAAAUCCCUUUUGGGCGAAAAAAGUGGCUCUUAUUCUUGCCUUAAGGCUUGGAUCUGAAUUGCAUGUUAUAUUGUAGCCUAUAUGCCGGAGCAGUAUGAACAAAUGUUAAUGGAGUAGUGAAGAUAAAAUGGGAAAGGGAACCCAUUUUGAAGUUUGGAAAAUCAGCUCUUGUCCAAAUCAUUGUUCUAUCAAUCACUGGUGGAAUGCAGUCAAGCUCCAUUGAUCCAUGCCAAAUUUUUAUCUAAUUCCAAUGGAUAAUAGGCAAAAGUUGAGUGGAUCCACCAUUCUAGUGAUGUGAGCAAGGAGUAGAUUAUCAAGAUAACCCAAUAGGUCAUAGCCAAGGAGAACAGAGUGAAACUGUGCAUGUCAUAGUGGAUAGUUGGUGUAAAUUUCCUGUGGAAGUCGAGCUUCUACAUUAGUGCAGAUGCUUCUAGGAGUGCUGAAGGAUAGCAGUUGAUGUUGGAGUGCUGAUGACAAGUCUGAUUUUUCCCAAGGAUAUGCUUUAAUUGUCAUGACAAAAUCAGAUCUAGGUUGUCCGCAGGGGAAAGCUUCUGAUACCAAAGAUACGAAGGAUGAAUAAAUGGCUUCUUUAUUACACAUAAAACUUUUGGCAAAAACUUUCUUCUCACAAACAAGCAUGAUGAAUUUUAAUGGUUCAACAAACUUGACAUCAUUUUGCAGCGGCGGAGGUAGUGUGGGGCUGGGAUGGGCUAUAGCCCAGCCCGACCCCCUAGCCUAUAUGGAAAAUUAAGAAUAAUUUGUUCAAUUUUGGUCCAAAUAUUUGUGUUUGUCCAACUUUGAAUUCUAACCCAAAGCUCAAUGCUCAAUUAAUCAAAUCUUAUUGAAGAUGCUACAAUUAUUAAAUACUAUUUCAUGACAUUUAUGAAACGUGAAUAUCUUAUUUUUAAAUUAGGCAUUUUAUUUAAUGCAUAUUUGACUA